RNAcentral lists this ribosomal RNA (700 nucleotides) under uncultured bacterium. Its description in RNAcentral is "bacterial SSU rRNA". It matches the Rfam family "Bacterial small subunit ribosomal RNA", at positions 42 to 787 of the family's 1533-position model. The record is from RNAcentral.
UCAGGCCUAACACAUGCAAGUCGAACGAAAUCUUCGGAUUUAGUGGCGGACGGGUGAGUAACGCGUGAGAAUCUGCCUUCAGGUUGGGGACAACAGUUGGAAACGACUGCUAAUACCCAAUGUGCCGAGAGGUGAAAGUUAUUUCGCCUGAAGAGGAGCUCGCGUCCGAUUAGCUAGUUGGUGGGGUAAAAGCCUACCAAGGCGUCGAUCGGUAGCUGGUCUGAGAGGAUGAGCAGCCACACUGGGACUGAGACACGGCCCAGACUCCUACGGGAGGCAGCAGUGGGGAAUUUUCCGCAAUGGGCGAAAGCCUGACGGAGCAAUACCGCGUGAGGGAGGAAGGCUUUUGGGUCGUAAACCUCUUUUCUUAGGGAAGAAGAUCUGACGGUACCUAAGGAAUCAGCAUUGGCUAACUCCGUGCCAGCAGCCGCGGUAAUACGGAGGAUGCAAGCGUUAUCCGGAAUUAUUGGGCGUAAAGCGUCCGCAGGUGGUCUUUCAAGUCUGCUGUCAAAUACCAGAGCUCAACUCUGGGCCGGCGGUGGAAACUGGGAGACUAGAGUACGGUAGGGGUAGAGGGAAUUUCCAGUGUAGCGGUGAAAUGCGUAGAGAUUGGAAAGAACACCAGUGGCGAAGGCGCUCUACUGGACCGUAACUGACACUCAGGGACGAAAGCUAGGGGAGCGAAAGGGAUUAGAUACCC